GGGGCCGUAGCUCAGUUGGCUAGAGCGCUUCCAUGGCAUGGAAGAGGUCGUGAGUUCGAUUCUCAUCGGCUCCACAA
RNAcentral lists this transfer RNA (77 nucleotides) under Actinobacteria bacterium IMCC26207. RNAcentral describes it as "tRNA-Ala". It matches the Rfam family "tRNA". Rfam says of the family: Transfer RNA (tRNA) molecules are approximately 80 nucleotides in length. The record is from RNAcentral. Lineage: Bacteria; Bacillati; Actinomycetota; Actinomycetes.